CGUAACACGUAGGCAACCUGCCCCGAAGCGGGGAUAACGAGCCGAAAGGCUUGCUAAUACCGCAUGUGACCACGACCUCGCCUGGGGUCGUGUUUGAAGGGAUCCGCGCGAGCGGGUUUCGCUUCGGGAUGGGCCUGCGGCCUAUCAGUUAGUUGGUGGGGUAACGGCCUACCAAGGCUUUGACGGGUAGCUGGUCUGAGAGGAUGGUCAGCCGGAUUGGGACUGAGACACGGCCCAG
This 238-nucleotide ribosomal RNA is filed under the name uncultured bacterium. RNAcentral describes it as "partial 16S ribosomal RNA". It matches the Rfam family "Bacterial small subunit ribosomal RNA", at positions 109 to 334 of the family's 1533-position model. The record is from RNAcentral.